RNAcentral lists this long non-coding RNA (506 nucleotides) under Phascolarctos cinereus (koala). Its description in RNAcentral is "lncRNA (ENSPCIG00000023867.2)". The record is from RNAcentral. Lineage: Eukaryota; Metazoa; Chordata; Mammalia; Diprotodontia; Phascolarctidae.
AGGGAAAUGCAUUCCAGAUUAAGACGUUAACUUUUCCAACUCUUUUCACAGGGAUGUUAAGUUGAAAGAAUUUGUAGGUGUUAGAAAAUAGGAGAAAAGAGGAUUUUACCCAGAUGGAAAGAGCAGUGAGGAUUAAAGCAAUUAGCAGAGGAUUGGCUUCAUCAAUGCCUAAAAUCCAGAUCUGUGUUCCUGCUUCCUGGCAAGGUUCCUGUCCAUGCUGGGUGUGUGUAAAAUGCCAGACCUCUCCUCACUCCAACAAUACAGAAUAGCCUAUCUGACAUAUGGAGGUGCACUUUUCAAACUUUCGGUAAAAAAAGCCGUGAGGUAUGGUUGUGAAGUUCAAACCUUUUCCCAAAAGGUUUGCAUGAUCAGUAUUUCAGGAAGCAAGUGAAAAACAGGACAGGUCAAGCAAUUGCAGUCAGGAGUCACGGAUAUUACAGAGGCAGCAGCGAUUUCCCCUUCAGUAACAGGUAGGUCAAUAAAGCUGUCAUCUGUAAUACUGGUCA